Molecule: ribosomal RNA, 464 nt
Filed under: uncultured Klebsiella sp.
Lineage: Bacteria; Pseudomonadati; Pseudomonadota; Gammaproteobacteria; Enterobacterales; Enterobacteriaceae
Description: bacterial SSU rRNA
Rfam family: Bacterial small subunit ribosomal RNA
Source: RNAcentral
CCUACGGGCGGCUGCAGUGGGGAAUAUUGCACAAUGGGCGCAAGCCUGAUGCAGCCAUGCCGCGUGUGUGAAGAAGGCCUUCGGGUUGUAAAGCACUUUCAGCGGGGAGGAAGGCGGUGAGGUUAAUAACCUCAUCGAUUGACGUUACCCGCAGAAGAAGCACCGGCUAACUCCGUGCCAGCAGCCGCGGUAAUACGGAGGGUGCAAGCGUUAAUCGGAAUUACUGGGCGUAAAGCGCACGCAGGCGGUCUGUCAAGUCGGAUGUGAAAUCCCCGGGCUCAACCUGGGAACUGCAUUCGAAACUGGCAGGCUAGAGUCUUGUAGAGGGGGGUAGAAUUCCAGGUGUAGCGGUGAAAUGCGUAGAGAUCUGGAGGAAUACCGGUGGCGAAGGCGGCCCCCUGGACAAAGACUGACGUUCAGGUGCGAAAGCGUGGGAGCAAACAGGAUUAGAUACCCGUGUAGUC